Molecule: ribosomal RNA, 401 nt
Filed under: uncultured bacterium
Lineage: Bacteria
Description: bacterial SSU rRNA
Rfam family: Bacterial small subunit ribosomal RNA
Source: RNAcentral
UGGGGAAUAUUGCACAAUGGGCGAAAGCCUGAUGCAGCAACGCCGCGUGAGCGAUGAAGGCCUUCGGGUCGUAAAGCUCUGUCCUCAAGGAAGAUAAUGACGGUACUUGAGGAGGAAGCCCCGGCUAACUACGUGCCAGCAGCCGCGGUAAUACGUAGGGGGCUAGCGUUAUCCGGAAUUACUGGGCGUAAAGGGUGCGUAGGUGGUUUCUUAAGUCAGAGGUGAAAGGCUACGGCUCAACCGUAGUAAGCCUUUGAAACUGGGAAACUUGAGUACAGGAGAGGAGAGUGGAAUUCCUAGUGUAGCGGUGAAAUGCGUAGAUAUUAGGAGGAACACCAGUUGCGAAGGCGGCUCUCUGGACUGUAACUGACACUGAGGCACGAAAGCGUGGGGAGCAAACA